Molecule: long non-coding RNA, 1028 nt
Filed under: Triticum aestivum (bread wheat)
Lineage: Eukaryota; Viridiplantae; Streptophyta; Magnoliopsida; Poales; Poaceae
Description: long non-coding RNA (TAES_LNC024358)
Source: RNAcentral
GUUUUUUCUGUAUGUUCCUACUUUGGAACGAAAAAUUGUAUUGAACAAAGAUUGUAGAAAAAAUUUCAUAAGAAAUGCAAAAAAGACUUUGAUGUCAGGGACUCUUUUGGUACUGAAUUUUCUAAACAUGUCAUACAAGCAAAAUUGAUCAGGAAAAAAAAUGUCAUACAAGGGAUCAAAUAUAACAUCUUCACCCAUUUGUGUGGAUUCUCUUGACUGUCGCAGUUUUUGUUGGAAUUGUCUUGUAGUAGUUGUUGUACCUUCUUUAUUAAGCAGAGGAAAAAAAAGAACUGCUUGUCGGUAUAUUGCAGCAUCCACAAAAGUCAUAAUGAGGAAAAAAAUAACAGUAUUAAAUUGCCAGAAAAUAUGUAAAAAAAUGAUCUGAAUGUCCUAAUAAUUUUCCUUGACAUUAGAAUGCUACUCCAUAUAGAAUUGGACACUUUACAUGUUAAUUUAGAGUGAAACAUCCCGUGUUGAUCGUAAUUGUAAAAAAUAAAUUUCACCCGUUAUGAAAAGAAUUUUAUUAUGUAGAAGCAUUUCAAAAAGCAGUUUACUGAAGGUGAUUGAAUAUGGAUGGUAGUGAAAAACGAAUUAUAUUGUAAUGAAAGAACGCACAAAUGUAUGACAUAUUUUUAGGAACGAAGUUAGCCAAAGGUACUAUAGUUGCUUCACAGAUUACUACUUGAUUGAACACUUAAUCUCUGGACUAUCUGCGAAACGUUUUAUUGUCAAUUGUUUGUGCUGAGUUUUUUGUAGUUCGACUGUUUUAACGAUUAGGUUGACACUAAAAUAAUUGCUACAUAUGAAUCUCAAAGCUAGAUAGUAAAUUUUGAACCUUUUUCAUGGGAAUAAAAAAUUGAGCAAAAAGAAAAUAAUAGUUUUUUCUCAUAUUGAGCAAAAGCAUGAAACUAUAAAAAGGAAAAACUUUCGGCAAGGAAUUACUUUAAAAGUGAAGGGAAAAUGUUUCAGACAUUUUGCAGAUCUUCAGUUGUGGUCUCGUUAGUUGUUUAUUUGAAUGAUCGAAACCC